This 448-nucleotide ribosomal RNA is filed under the name uncultured bacterium. RNAcentral's name for it is "SSU rRNA". It matches the Rfam family "Bacterial small subunit ribosomal RNA", at positions 26 to 518 of the family's 1533-position model. The record is from RNAcentral.
AGAGCGAACGCUGGCGGCAGGCUUAACACAUGCAAGUCGAGCGGGCGUAGCAAUGCGUCAGCGGCAGACGGGUGAGUAACGCGUGGGAACGUACCUUUUGGUUCGGAACAACCCAGGGAAACUUGGGCUAAUACCGGAUAAGCCCUUACGGGGAAAGAUUUAUCGCCGAAAGAUCGGCCCGCGUCUGAUUAGCUAGUUGGUGAGGUAAUGGCUCACCAAGGCGACGAUCAGUAGCUGGUCUGAGAGGAUGAUCAGCCACAUUGGGACUGAGACACGGCCCAAACUCCUACGGGAGGCAGCAGUGGGGAAUAUUGGACAAUGGGCGCAAGGCCUGAUCCAGCCAUGCCGCGUGAGUGAUGAAGGCCCUAGGGUUGUAAAGCUCUUUUGUGCGGGAAGAUAAUGACGGUACCGCAAGAAUAAGCCCGGCUAACUUCGCGCCAGCAGCCGC